Molecule: ribosomal RNA, 478 nt
Filed under: uncultured bacterium
Lineage: Bacteria
Description: partial 16S ribosomal RNA
Rfam family: Bacterial small subunit ribosomal RNA
Source: RNAcentral
GAUGAACGCUGGCGGCGUGCCUAACACAUGCAAGUCGAACGGAGACCCGCCUCUAAGACCUUCGGGUCGAAGAGGGGAAGACUGAGUGGCGGGCGGGUGAGUAACACGUGGGCAACCUGGCACACAGAGGGGGAGAACAGAGAGAAAUUUCUGCUAAUACCGCAGGAGCACACACUGCCGCAUGGCAGAGGGUGAAAGGAGAAGCGCUAGGAGAUGGACGCGCGUCUGAUGAGCCAGUUGGCAGGGUAAGAGCCUACCAAAGCGACGAUCAGUAGCCGAUCUGAGAGGAUGAACGGCCAGAUUGGGACUGAGGCACGGCGCAAACUCGUGCGGGAUGGAGCAGUGGGGGAUAGUGCACAAUGGCGGGAACCCUGAUGGAGCGGCGCCGCGUGAGUGGAGAAGUAUUUCGGUAUGUAAAGCUCUAUCAACAGUGAAGAUGGUGACAGUACCUGAAAAAGAAGCCCCGGCUAACUACGUG